Molecule: long non-coding RNA, 1977 nt
Organism: Vicugna pacos (alpaca)
Lineage: Eukaryota; Metazoa; Chordata; Mammalia; Artiodactyla; Camelidae
Source: RefSeq, a predicted model, not a curated record
CAUAGUGUGCCAGACUUCAGGGAAAGGAAUUGGUAUCAGAUGCAAAACUGGAACACCUAACAAGAAGAAACAACUUGAAAUUCAGUGCAUAGUUCCAUCAUUUGGACAAAAGUGACUGGAUCACAUGCCAACUAUGUUCCCCUGACCCGUUAUGAGCUGCCAACAGACAAUGGGACGGAGAGAAAGCCAACAUGUGAUGUGUCGGAGUCAUGGAGAACACUGAAUAUGGCCAUUUGGACUCAUUUGGUGAAGGACUGGCAGGCCAGCCGGGACAUGCUCUUCUCACGGUGAUGGCAAAGGCACGAGAGAGGAAACCCUAUUGCACAAGCACAUUACCAGCCCCUGUUUGUGUCAUCUACUAGCAUCCCAUUGGACAAGGAGAGUCAAAUAACCAAGUCCAGAGUCAAGGAAUGAGGAGAUACCACCUGCUAAGGUAGGAGGGCACAGCAAAGUUACAAAACAAAAGAAGUGAAUGUAUAAUUAUAAGCGUGUUCCUGGAGGAGGGAAGACUACAAAGAAUGGGAAUGAUCAUUCGGUCUCCUAUCCAGUCUUCUCCCAGGUCACAUUCUACCACCAAUUACCUAAUCCAUGACAGCUGAAGAACGUAAAGUAACUCCUUAAUACAAAUCUAGGUAAAGUACGACCGGAAGAAUAAAUCUGAUACUCUCAAAGUCUGCAUUCAAAAUCAGUCUUUAUUUUUAACUGUCCCCAUCACUGUUUACUGCUAUUGGAAAGGACAGUCAAAAGAAUAUAUGUAUAUCUUGUUAAUGGAGAUCCCCACCCAACAAUUCGUUCAGCCCUUUCUAUUUCUGGUCACCCAAAGCAGAUGUGAGUUGCGUGGAAAAAGGUAAAGGAGCUCACCAAGAGAAAACCCACCCACCAAACAGACUGUGUCUUUAAGUCAUACUUCACUUCAUUUCAUGUCCUUCCACUAGAAAUGCAAAUAUGAAAUGUUAAUCUUUUACACCAGCUUCUGAAUUCUCUCACCCAACUGCUGGGAAAGGAUGCCAGUUCAAGCAGGGCAGAGCAUGGGACAAAGACAUUAUAGAAGGUUCAGAAAACAAAACAAAAUGAAAAGCCAGUGAAAAGGAUACCAAGAGGUUAUAAACAAUUCUUGCUCUCUUCAAGUUCAGCAUGUCCAGCAAAAAUAGAACCAAAUAUCUCUGUUACUUGCAUUACAAGAUAAACCUUUUAUUUCUUUACCCCCAUUGUAUCAAAGGCUAGCGCCUUCAUAAAACUUUGAGGGGAAAAAAAGGUAUCCGUUGCAAGUGAACAAAGUUUUUUGUCUUUGCUUUGUUGUGUUUACUUAGUUAUGAGUGAUAGCUGAACAAAAUGUCUUCGUCUAGCUUAGCACUUUUUUCCAAUAUACCCUUAAGAACAGAGACUGAAAUAACAUGAGAGUCCCAGAAGUAUUUUGAGCUGAGAACGUAACAAAAGCUUUGCUAUGCUACAUAAAAUUGAGCCGAGAUUCACAGAUAAUAACAAUAAUGCAUUUCUGCUUCAUGCUUUUCAUCUUGAUAUGUCUGAAUUACCUACUCUCUUCUUCCAAACCACUUGGCAGAAACUCCCUCCCCCAACUCAAGGCCACCAAGGCAAUCUCUCAGAUUAGAAGGUGGUGAUGUUUCAUGACUAUAUAAACAAGAAGAAAUAAACGUAGUUCUCAUACAUAUGCCUGUAUCAACCUUCCAUAUUCUUCAUUUUACACAAAAAAAUAAUGUUGCUUUUAAUUUGAUAUGUAUUCCUAACUAAGAAAUCAGAAACCAAUUAAUAAAUACACUGUCAUGGAUCUUAGGUUAUUGCCCAUGGUUGACAUUUUAAAUAAUGUAAUCUUCUAAUUAAUAUUAUUUCAACCUCAUUUCAUGUUGCAACAAGUUAGUUCAAAAUGUACAGGAAGUCUACAUUUCUAAAUGGCUUUCUCACUCCCCCAAGGAUUCUAGAAUUCACUCUGAGUUUCUGCUAAUGUGUUUUAUCCCAGGA